GUGCUAGCUUCGGCAGCACAUAUACUAACAUUGGAACGGUACAGAGAUUAGCAUGAUGGCCCCUGCGCAAGGAUGACACGCAAAUUCGUGAAGCGUUCCGUGUUUUU
Molecule: small nuclear RNA, 107 nt
Filed under: Cervus elaphus hippelaphus
Lineage: Eukaryota; Metazoa; Chordata; Mammalia; Artiodactyla; Cervidae
Source: RNAcentral